RNAcentral lists this unclassified non-coding RNA (563 nucleotides) under Hevea brasiliensis (rubber tree). Lineage: Eukaryota; Viridiplantae; Streptophyta; Magnoliopsida; Malpighiales; Euphorbiaceae. The record is from RNAcentral.
CGAACUUAUGUGGAUCUGAAGGUGAGAUGAGUUUGCUCAGUAUUCGCUCUUUUAGCUCUUAUGAUCUUCUGUUUCUAAUUGUUGUUACUUUAGAGGGUUGUUUGAUAGUUUCCAGACCGUUAGACUUAAAAUCUAGUAUUUUAAAAUUAAAAAAAUGUGAGGCUUUUGUGGCCGGGGUCCACAUUCCUCAAGGGCAUGCUGUUAGUUUAGGAAAUAGUUGCUUGUACAACAGGUAAAUGAUUAGAUAGACUUGAUACCUUUUCUGAUCUGUGUAGCUCUAUCUGUAAAAUAGCAACCGUCCCAUAAGGGAUCUUUUCAAUUCUAAUCUUGCAUGAUGCCUCUUCUAUACUUACUAACCUGCCCUUUGCCAAAUAUCUUACUGCUUUCCUUGUUAGAUGUACUAUGUGACUAAUUGAAUCUUCCUGGAAAGCAAAAAGGCAAAGUUGGGUUCUUUUAUAUUUUCUUGGUAGAUUGCUUAAAGGGUUACUCAAUUAUAUGGAUGUUGUAGUUCAUUCUUUGACACAUAUUUUUGGGUUAUGCAGGAUAAAUGGAAAACACUUGUG